CUCAAUGAAAUGAUAUUGUCAGGCAGCUGUAGGACCAUAGGGUGUAUCUGAGGUUGUGAUGGCUUCAUGGCUACACCAGAAAUAUUGUGUUAUUAGGGCUGGGAGACAUAAGGAGUUCAUAGGUGAGAAAUAUGUGCAAUUCAAGCAUGCAUCUGAUGAUGAGCUUUGCUCCAUGUAGAUUGGGCGCUAGAUGAAGCGCCGCUUGGACUCAUCCUGGGGAGGUCAAGCACUCUGGUUAGGCUCGUCUCAAGUACCCAGCCAGGCUCUCAGAUUGUGCGCAAGCAUGAGUAGCGUGUGGGUCGUGGAUGUCACCUGCCUUUUGAAGUGCUUGCUGCUGAUGUUCACGGACCACGUGCUGCUUAAUUUCCUAUAGUAGAUGUUUUUUUUUUGCUAAAUCUCUCAUUAACCAUGCGUCAUGUUUUGGUUUCUUUCUCAUGCUGCUGUUCUCUUUUGUUAGU
RNAcentral lists this long non-coding RNA (458 nucleotides) under Setaria viridis. Its description in RNAcentral is "long non-coding RNA (SVIR_LNC008312)". The record is from RNAcentral. Lineage: Eukaryota; Viridiplantae; Streptophyta; Magnoliopsida; Poales; Poaceae.